UGCCUUUAGCCCAGAGUAUUAAAGGUAUCGCCUGCCCAGUGAAUAUUAAACGGCCGCGGGAUCCUCACCGUGCAAAGGUAGCAUAAUCACUUGUCCCCUAAAUAGUGACUAGUAUGAAUGGCCAAAUGAAGAUUUUACUGUCUCUUAUAGCUAAUCUAUGAAACUAAUCUAUCAGUACAAAAACUGAUAUAUUAACAUAAGACGAAAAGACCCUGUGGAACUUCAAGCACAACUCAAUACCAUGACCCCCUGCUUUUAGUUGGGGCAACUUUGGAAAUAAACAAAACUUCCAAUCUUUUAUAAGAUAAACAUAUCAACAAACAUAUAAUUUGAUAUAGACCCAGUACUACACUGAUCAAAGAACCAAGCUACCCCAGGGAUAACAGCGCUAUCCCCUCCAAGAGCCCAAAUCGACGAGAGGGGUUUACGACCUCGAUGUUGGAUCAGGGCCCCCAAACAGUGCAACAGCUGUUAACGGUUUGUUUGUUCAACAAUUAAAGCCCU
This 504-nucleotide ribosomal RNA is filed under the name Anadia ocellata. RNAcentral describes it as "partial 16S ribosomal RNA". It matches the Rfam family "Bacterial large subunit ribosomal RNA", at positions 1829 to 2597 of the family's 2925-position model. Lineage: Eukaryota; Metazoa; Chordata; Lepidosauria; Squamata; Gymnophthalmidae. The record is from RNAcentral.